Molecule: ribosomal RNA, 1402 nt
Filed under: metagenome
Description: bacterial SSU rRNA
Rfam family: Eukaryotic small subunit ribosomal RNA
Source: RNAcentral
UCUGGUUGAUCUCGCCAGAUAUAUAUGCUACUUUAAAAGAUUAAGCCAUGCAAGUGUAAGUAUGAGAAUCUCGUAUAUUCUAGACUGCGAACAGCUUAUUAUAAAAGUUAUAAUUUAUUUGAACGUGGAGGAUUAAAACAUCCUCAAAUUAUGUGGAUAACUGUGGGAAAGCUAGAGAUAAUACAUGCAAAAGGACGAGACCCUAGCAAUAGGGAAUCGUUGCAUUAACUGGCAUUAUUAAAGGGGUGCAAAUUCCUUUGAUGAGACACAGUUCACUAUUAGCAGAGCGAGCAAUCGCCGCUUCAUUCAAAUCUCUUAUCUAUCAACUUUCGUUGUUCAUAUAGAGGAUGAACAAGGUUAUAACGGGUGACAGAGAAUUAGGGUUUGAUUCUGGAGAGGGAGCCUUAGAAACAGCUACCACUUCCAAGGAAGGCAGCAGGCGCGAAAAUUACCCAAUAAAAAUACUUUGAGGUAGUGACAAAAAAUAACGACGACGUAAAAACUGGUAGAAAUAUCAGUUUGUCGAUUGUAAUGAGUAUUUUAAGAAAAUUAAUUAGAAUCAACUGGAGGGCAAGUCUGGUGCCAGCAGCCGCGGUAAUUCCAGCUCCAGUAGCGUAUAUUUAAGUUGUUGUAUUUAAAAAGCUCGUAGUUGAAAUAUGUAAGAGAGCUUUAUUGGGGGGAUGGCAUAAGUUGUCUUCCUGGUAAUCUCUUACAUACGCACGUAUAUUAGACUCUUACGAAAUUGAAAGAUUUUGUAGGAUCAUUUAAUAUACAUUUUACCAUAAGUAACUUAGAGUGUUUAAAGCAAGACGUUUGUCUAUUGAAUAAUAGAGUAUGGGAUAAUAAAAGAUGAGAGAGGGAAGAUGCAUUCUCUGGUAGCAAUACCAGGUCUUUCUUUUCUAAUGAUUAAUAGGGACAGUUUGGGCAAUUGAUAUUUCUACACGAGCGGUGAAAUGCGUAGACUGUAGAAAGAUCGACUAAUGCGAAAGCAUUUUGCAGAGAUGUUUUCGUUAAUCAAGAACGAAAGUUAAGGGAUCGAAGAUGAUCAGAUACCGUCGUAGUCUUAACUAUAAACAAUGUCGACAAAAGAUGGGAUUGAAAGUAUGAAUAUACUUUCUUUUCAAAAAGGUACUAAAACUUCCACACAGUAGCAAUAUUGUGUGGAUAAAUUUGUCUCUUCCCGAAUUUCGUAAGAAAUUAAGAGUGAUCGGACUUUGGGGGGAGUAUGGUCGCAAGGCUGAAACUUAAAGGAAUUGACGGAAGGGCACCACCAGGUGUGGAACUUGCGGUUUAAUUUGACCCAACACGGGGAAACUCACCAGGUCAGGACAUGAUAAGGAUUGACAGAUUAAAAGAUCUUUCAUGAUUUUAUGGGUGGUGGUGCAUGGCCGAUCUUAGUUCC